Molecule: ribosomal RNA, 525 nt
Filed under: uncultured bacterium
Lineage: Bacteria
Description: bacterial SSU rRNA
Rfam family: Bacterial small subunit ribosomal RNA
Source: RNAcentral
ACAUCCAGAGAAUUUAGCAGAGAUGCUUUAGUGCCUUCGGGAACUCUGAGACAGGUGCUGCAUGGCUGUCGUCAGCUCGUGUUGUGAAAUGUUGGGUUAAGUCCCGNAACGAGCGCAACCCUUAUCCUUGUUGCCAGCACGUAAUGGUGGGAACUCAAAGGAGACUGCCGGUGAUAAACCGGAGGAAGGUGGGGAUGACGUCAAGUCAUCAUGGCCCUUACGAGUAGGGCUACACACGUGCUACAAUGGCGCAUACAAAGAGAAGCGACCUCGCGAGAGCAAGCGGACCUCAUAAAGUGCGUCGUAGUCCGGAUUGGAGUCUGCAACUCGACUCCAUGAAGUCGGAAUCGCUAGUAAUCGUAAAUCAGAAUGUUACGGUGAAUACGUUCCCGGGCCUUGUACACACCGCCCGUCACACCAUGGGAGUGGGUUGCAAAAGAAGUAGAUAGCUUAACCUUCGGGAGGGCGUUUACCACUUUGUGAUUCAUGACUGGGGUGAAGUCGUAACAAGGUAAGCGUAGUGCU